Molecule: long non-coding RNA, 4515 nt
Organism: Esox lucius (northern pike)
Lineage: Eukaryota; Metazoa; Chordata; Actinopteri; Esociformes; Esocidae
Source: Ensembl
UUUUGCAUCAUAUUAAUCUUUUAAUCAUAUUUUCAUAUGUUUGAGUAUACAGCAAAAAUGACAAUAUGGGUCAUUCCAGAAUUGGAGGACAUUUUGUCUUACCCAUGUUAUUUCAAAGAAUCCUUGCACAAAAUACUAAAACACACACUUGUUGUGUAAAUUAUACUUGUAUACCCCUUAAAUUGCAUUUUUCUCUUGUCCCACUUUCCCGAUGACCAACUUCAACAUCAAAUAUAACAAUUAAAAUAAGUUUUAAAUCUAUGUUUUUGGUGUGAUGUCGAUAUGUCUCUUGUAAUUAUUAUUACUUAUAUAUAAUCAACAUAUUUAAAAUCAUAUCAGUUAUUCCCUGAAGUUGUGUCCCACAAAAUGCUUGCAGCCCAGUUACCGAAACAUAUUUAGCCUGGCAGAGGCAUAGAAAAAACAGAGUCAGAUGACAGAGAAAAUUACAUAAUCACUCCAUCUGCUAACACCAUGGGUAGACCUAUCUUUUAUUUUUCAGCCUUGAUUGUCACUCCAACCAACUCAACCAUGUUUCUCAUAUUAUCAGAAUAAGAAAAAUUCUGUUUUUAUUUAAAUAGCUAAGUUUGUCUUUGACCUUGACAGUAAUGCUACAUUCCACAGCAUUCCUGAGAAAAAACAUUAGCAUAGUUUUGCAACCCUGUUUCUAUAACUCAAGUAACAGUGUUGAACUACAGUAACAGGGUUGUAUCUCCUUCUGUUCACACAGAAUGGGCUAUCUAUAGUAAACUAAAACCACUUUAAUCCCACACAACCACACAGAAGACCCCAUACACAGCACACCAGAAGUGCAGUGGCACAGUCCAGAGGUAGUAGGGAAAUGGUGUGUCCUGGUGUACGACCACACCGUGUUUCCAGAGAUCCAUCCAAUAAGUGAAAUACCCCAUGUCAGGUGACAUGUAUGCAUAGAGUCGGGGUAAAGCAUUUUUCCUGGCCUUUGAGGUGUGAUCUCCUUUGGUAUCCCUUUGAGGAUGUGUUAGCCGUCAUUCCUCCCCUAGAGAAUGUUACCUCCCGCCACAUGGCCAUCACAAUUGAGGUAUGGGAUACUCUGGCCAGCAAACAAUUAUAUCUGAACAUUAUAAUAUCAGCUUUCUAAAAUAAUGAUCAGUUCAUGAUUAUUUUUUAUAUGCUCAUUCAUUUUAAUGACUGGUUCUCAGCCUACUGUAACGUUUAUUUUCGGUUUGUCCAUUGAAUAUGUGAUCAGAUCCAGUAUGUAUGUAUAAAAUAUUAUUAAUCAAAAUUCCUUUGGUCCUGGAUAUUUAUUUGUCACAUUUAUGUCAUGAUCGACAAUCAAAAGUAAUGUAAUUCAUUCAACCCUGUUACUCUGAUAUGACCAUAUAAUCUUUAUUAAAAUAAUCUUAAAUGAUUUUCUCAGAUCACAAGGGUUUAACCUAUUGUUCUUUUAAUAGUCUGAAUUAUUAUAUGCAUAACAUUUGAUCAAAUAUUUGAAAAUAAACACUGAAAUUAGUAAAAAUAAAUAUAGUAAUAUGAGGCUAUUGGAAAGUUGUGCGGGAUCGAUUUCAAAAGUUGGUUAAAUUAAUAUUAGUCUUACAGUUGUGCUCAAAAGUUUGCAUACCCUUGAAGAAUUGGCAAUAUAUGUACCAUUUGCAAAGAAAACAUUUUGUAAUAGUUGUCUAUGAGGCCCGAAUUCUUGCAGGUGGUAUAGCUGCCCAUUCGUCUUGGCAAAAUGCCUCCAGGUCAUGCAAAUCUUUGGUCAUCUUGUGUGAACCACACGUUUGAGAUCUCCCCAGAGUGGCUUGAUGAUAUUAAAUUCAAGAGGUUGUGAUGGCCACUCCAGAACCUUCACCUUUUUCUGCUGUUACCACUAGAGGGUCAACAUGACAUCAUUGUAGUGCUGGAAAGUCCAAAAGCUUCCCAUGCGCAUCUUUCAUGCAGAAUAAUGCAAAUUGCCUGCCAGUAUUUUCUAAUAACAUGCUGCAUUCAUCUUGCCAUCAAUUUACACAAGAUUCCCUGUGCCUAUAGAGCUCACACACCCCCAAAACAUGCUUCACAGUGGGGAUGGUAUUCUGUUCACUAUAGGACUUGUUGACCCCUCUCCAAACAAUGCUUAUGGUUGUGACCAUAAAGCUCUAGUUUGGUCUUUUCACUCCAAAUUAGAAUGUGCCAGCAGCUUUGAGGCAUUUCAAGGUGUUGUCAGGUAUUUUGUAACCAGGCUUUUUUGUGGCAUUGCCGCAGUAAAGGUUUCUUUAUGGCAUUUCGACCAUGUAGCUCAUUUUUGUUGGUGUCGUCACAUUGUGCUCCUUGAAACUACCACACCAUCUUUUUCCAGAGCAGCCUGUAUUUCUCUUGAGGUUACCUGUGGGUUUUUCUUUGUAUCCCAAACAAUUCUUCUGGCAGUUUUAGCAGAAAUCUUUCUUGGUCUUGUUAUGGAAAUGUCUUGAACUGAUGCAUUCUUAUUGAUUAAUGUAUUGAGUCCCCAUGUUUAGAUAAGAAAAGGAAUGUCGGUUGUGCUGUGGUAAAGCAAGUAUGAGGUGCUGAGGUAAAUGUGAAUCUUUAGCAGGAUGGGGGUAGAUGCAGAACAAUGGGUCUUAGGACAGGAAAGAGGAAGAUACACAACAGGGGGUACGAUGGAUAAGGAACAUGUUAUUGUGGUAUGACCAUGCAGAUUCUUACCUCCACCCAUUCCUCUAUAAGUAUCGAAUGUAUUUCCAAAUGCUUUAGAGACUCCUCGGUUGAUUGUUUGUAAGCGUUUGACGCAUCUCUCUAUUUGCAAAUAAACUUUAUUAUACCAAGAGAAUUUUGUCUCUGUACUUGUCUCUAUCAGAGUUCUGAUUGAUGAAAUUGCCAUCACAGUCUACCUGACCUUGGCUUGGUAUCAAGAGAUCCCAGAAUUUUCCAAUUCUUAAUAAGUGAUUGAACAAUACUGACUGGCAUUUGCAAAACUUUGGAUAUCUUUUCAUAUCCUUUUCCAUCUUUAUAAAGUUCCAUUACCUUGUUACGCAGGUCUUUUGACAGUUCUUUUCUGCACUCCACGGCUCAGUAUCUAGCCUGUUUAGUGCAUCCACGUGGGCGCUAACAAACUCAUUGACUAUUUAUACACAGACACUAAUUGCAAUUUAAAAAGCCACAGGUGUGGGAAAUUCACCUUUAAUUGCCAUUUUCACGUGUGUGUGUGUGUGUCAUCUUGUGUGUCUGUAACAAGGCCAAACAUUCAAGGGUAUGUAAACUUUUGAUCAAGGGUAUGUAAACUUUUGAUCAGGGCCAUUUGGGUGAUUUCUGUUCACUAUGAUUUAAAAAGGAGCCAAACAACUAUGUGAUAAUAAAUGGCUUCAUAUGAUCACUAUCCUUAAAUAAAAGAUUUGCAUGAUCAGUCAUAUUUUCAAAAUCAAUGCCAAAAUUUCACAAUUUAUGCCAGGAUAUUCAAACUUAUGAGCACAACUGUAUCUGAAAUUAAAUGAGUAUUCAAUGUCUUUCUUUACUUAAUAGUAAAGUAUUUAUUAAAUAAAUAUGCUUUUUUCAGGUUCUUGAGAAUUCGUAACAGCUGGGUAUGUUUUUAUUAUUCUGAACACCCUUUUUGGUUAUUUACGGUAAUCAAUGCACCUGGUGGUGGUGGAGGAAGUAGAGUUUAUUAGCUAUUCACCUGCGUGGUUUUAGAGGGGAGAUAGUGGGUGAUGGGGGAGGUCAUAUUUUUGUUGACCGCUAUCUAAACACUGUACUAUCAAAUCGAAUGUCUGAGAAACAAUUAUAGAAUGUUGCAAUACAUGACCUUGUUUGCUUCUCAUGAUAAUAAAACGACAAAAUGCAGUCUUCGGAUUUGUCAUCAUUGAAGCGCGUCUGACAAUUUAGUUUUCCCUGCUCAGCCUCUCGGCCGACAAUUUCUGUGACUCUCAGAUUGUCGCCCACAAGGGUUGUACCAAGCAUACCCCAUGACAAAUAAAACAGCUCAUAAAAAGUGUACUUUUGAUGCCUGAGCUGGACAAAUAUAUUUUUUUGAUGGUUUAUUACCAGUUUUUCCUAAAUACAUAACAGAAAAUUGUGAAAUAUAGGGUUGAAGUGUUGAUUCUUAAAUUGUCCUCCAAUUCUGGAAUGACCCAUAUACACAGUUACAAGCCAUACUAUAAAUGUUACAUACAUAUGAAUGUUUGAUCUACUUUAGGCCAGGAGAGCUUUUACAUCACAACAAAGAAAACCCAAAUCUAUAGUCAUAGCAAAGAUGAAAAGGGACUACACUAACAAUAUUAUGUUUUAACUGGCCAUUGACAAUGUAGGAUUCCAUAGGCAUAUUUACGUAUAUUUUGCAGUGUUGCUUAGUUUGACAUCUACAGUAUAUAAAUAGCACUAGAUCAUUAAAACUUUGAUCUUUCUAUUUUAAGCUAAUGCUGUGUGAUUUGAUUUGCUGUGUGCACAAUGGUUACCCACUGUAUUCGUGAGAUGGACUGGAGUGGCCUAAUUAAUAAUAAAGGAUAUUUGUAUAAAUGCUGUCCAAGUAUCCAAUUCCAGUGCUGAUUUCAUGGCCGCCACGGAAUGAACCCAAAC